This 497-nucleotide ribosomal RNA is filed under the name uncultured bacterium. Its description in RNAcentral is "partial 16S ribosomal RNA". It matches the Rfam family "Bacterial small subunit ribosomal RNA", at positions 28 to 507 of the family's 1533-position model. The record is from RNAcentral.
GAUGAACGCUGGCGGCGUGCCUAAUACAUGCAAGUCGAGCGAACGGACGAGAAGCUUGCUCCUCUGAUGUUAGCGGCGGACGGGAGAGUAACACGUGGAUAACCUACCUAUAAGACUGGGAUAACUUCGGGAAACCGGAGCUAAAACCGGAUAAUAUUUUGAACAGCAUGGUUCAAAAGUGAAAGAAGGUAUUGCUGUCACUUAUAGAUGGAUCCGCGCUGCAUUAGCUAGUUGGUAAGGUAACGGCUUACCAAGGCAACGAUGCAUAGCCGACCUGAGAGGGUGAUCGGCCACACUGGAACUGAGACACGGUCCAGACUCCUACGGGAGGCAGCAGUAGGGAAUCUUCCGCAAUGGGCGAAAGCCUGACGGAGCAACGCCGCGUGAGUGAUGAAGGUCUUCGGAUCGUAAAACUCUGUUAUUAGGAAAGAACAUAUGUGUAAGUAACCGUGCACAUCUUGACGGUACCUAAUCAGAAAGCCACGGCUAACUACGUG